UUCAGAGGAACCUGUUCUAUAAUUGAUAAUCCACGAGUUAAAUUACUUAUUUAAUUAAUUUAUAUAUCGUCGUAAUUUAAAUAUUUUAAUAGAAUUAUAAUAUUUAAGAUUUUUAAUUAAAAAAUAAAUCAGAUCAAGGUGUAGUUUAUAAAUAAGAAGAAAUGGGUUACAGUUAAUAAAUUAAUGCUGGAGAAUUAAUUUAAAAUUAAUUUGAAAUUGGAUUUGAAAGUAAUUUAAAAUAAAUUUUUUAAAUGAUUUUAGCUCUAAAAUAAGCACAUAUCGCCCGUCAUUUUCACUAUAAAGUGAAACAAGUCGUAACAGAGUAGAUGUACUGGAAAGUGUAUCUAGAAAGACAAAUUAGAGCUUGGUAAAAGUAUUUUAGUUACAUUAAAAAGUUUAUUGUGAAAUUCAAUAUAAUUUGAUAAUAAAUUAUUAUUAAAUUUAAUAAUUUAAAUUUAUUUUAUUAUAAAUAAUUUAUAGUUUUAUUAAAUAAUUAGAAGUAAUUUUAUUAAUUAUAGUUUAUUAGUAUUGUGAAAGAAUAAUUAGUUUAAUUUUUAAGAAUAAUUUAUUUUUAGUACCUUGUGUAUCAGGGUUAAUUAAAAAAUAGUUUUUUAUAAAAUUUUCUCGAAUCUAAAAGGGUUAUUUAAAUAUUUUUUUUAAUGUAUAAUAAUUAUUAUUAAUAUUUAAAUAGAAAUGAAACGUUAUUCGUUUUUAGUUAUAUCUAGUUUUUAAAGAAAUAAAUUUAAUUUAGUAAAUUUUAUAUAUUAAAUUUAAUUUUUAAUUUAGUAUUAUUAUUUAUAAAUAUCUUAAGGGAUGAGCUUUAAGGUAUAUUUUUAUAAGUAAAUUAUUAGUUUAAAUAAAUAGGAUUAGAAUUUUUUAUUUUUUAGUAUUUAAUAAUUAAUUUAAUAAUAUUUAUAAUUUAUAUUAACUUUAAAUAUUAUAUUUAAAUUUAAAUUUAAAUUUUGAUAGUUUAGGAAUAAUGAUUAAAUUAGUAUAAUAUUUUUUAUAUAUUUAUAUUUUAAUAGAUUAUGUAAAGGAAUUCGGCAAAUAUAUUUUUCACCUGUUUAAU
RNAcentral lists this ribosomal RNA (1069 nucleotides) under Exapion cf. subparallelum HL-2016. Its description in RNAcentral is "partial 16S ribosomal RNA". The record is from RNAcentral. Lineage: Eukaryota; Metazoa; Arthropoda; Insecta; Coleoptera; Brentidae.